GAUGAACGCUGGCGGCGUGCCUAAUACAUGCAAGUCGAACGAAACUUCUUUAUCACUGAGUGCUUGCACUCACCGAUAAAGAUUUGAGUGGCGAACGUGUCAUUAACACGUGGGCAACCUGCCCAAAAGAUGGGGAUAACACUUGGAAACAUGUGCUAAUACCGCAUAACCAUAGUUACCGCAUGGUAACUAUGUAAAAGGUGGCUAUACUACCGCUUGUUGAUGGGCACGCGGCGCAUUAGCUAGUUGGUAGGGUAAAGUCUUACCAAGGCAAUGAUGCGUAGCCGAAUUGAGAGGUUGAUCGGCCACAUUGGGACUGAGACACGGCCCAAACUCCUACGGGAGGCCGCAGUAGGGAAUCUUCCACAAUGGGCGAAAGCCUGAUGGAGCAACGCCGCGUGGGUGAAGAAGGUCUUCGGAUCGUAAAACCCUGUUGUUAGAGAAGAAAGUGCGUGAGAGUAAAUGUUCACGUUUCGACGGUAUCUAACCAGAAAGCAACGGCUAACUACGUG
RNAcentral lists this ribosomal RNA (512 nucleotides) under uncultured bacterium. Its description in RNAcentral is "partial 16S ribosomal RNA". It matches the Rfam family "Bacterial small subunit ribosomal RNA", at positions 28 to 507 of the family's 1533-position model. The record is from RNAcentral.